Molecule: long non-coding RNA, 491 nt
Filed under: Rattus norvegicus (Norway rat)
Lineage: Eukaryota; Metazoa; Chordata; Mammalia; Rodentia; Muridae
Description: long non-coding RNA NONRATT018297
Source: RNAcentral
GGUACUCCUUUGGCUGGAGUCUGAUCUCUGUAGAGAAUAUUAGUUCCUGUGUGAACAGCAAGUGAGUACAGGUCAGAGCCAGUUCUCAGCGAGAAGCCUCACAGCAGCAGCUCUGGACAGAGUCGGGAAGAAGGUUGCAGUCUGGCUCUGGCUCUGUGGGCAAGGCUGCCCGAUCAGGUCCAGAGCACAGAGGGAGAAGCACCUCACGUGCCAGCCACUUGCCAGCUAAGCCUUGCCAAGUCAAAAAGAGAUCAUCUGUUGCGAACUGCAAGUCAGCAUUCUGAUAGCAGCGGGUUUGCUGAGGAUUCCACAGACUGCCUCUCCCUCAAUCACCUUCAGGUUCAUGAGUCCCUGCAAGCCAUGGGGAGCAGUGCUGACAGCUGCGACAGUGAAACAACUGUCACAUCACUUGGUGAAGACCAUGUGACUCCGACAGCACCAGACCAGCCUUACUUCAAUGAAUCAGAGGAGGAGUCUCUUGCCUCUCUGCA